This 483-nucleotide ribosomal RNA is filed under the name uncultured bacterium. RNAcentral's name for it is "bacterial SSU rRNA". It matches the Rfam family "Bacterial small subunit ribosomal RNA", at positions 355 to 853 of the family's 1533-position model. The record is from RNAcentral.
UGGGGAAUCUUGGACAAUGGGGGCAACCCUGAUCCAGCCAUGCCGCGUGAGUGAUGAAGGCCUUAGGGUCGUAAAGCUCUUUCGCCUGUGAAGAUAAUGACGGUAGCAGGUAAAGAAACCCCGGCUAACUCCGUGCCAGCAGCCGCGGUAAUACGGAGGGGGUUAGCGUUGUUCGGAAUUACUGGGCGUAAAGCGCACGUAGGCGGACCAGAAAGUUGGGGGUGAAAUCCCGGGGGCUCAACCCCGGAACUGCCUCCAAAACUAUUGGUCUAGAGUUCGAGAGAGGUGAGUGGAAUUCCAAGUGUAGAGGUGAAAUUCGUAGAUAUUUGGAGGAACACCAGUGGCGAAGGCGGCUCACUGGCUCGAUACUGACGCUGAGGUGCGAAAGUGUGGGGAGCAAACAGGAUUAGAUACCCUGGUAGUCCCACACCGUAAAACGAUGAAUGCCAGUCGUCGGGUAGCAUGCUAUUCGGUGACACACCU